Molecule: long non-coding RNA, 1509 nt
Filed under: Musa acuminata (dwarf banana)
Lineage: Eukaryota; Viridiplantae; Streptophyta; Magnoliopsida; Zingiberales; Musaceae
Description: long non-coding RNA (MACU_LNC005133)
Source: RNAcentral
CCUCCUCACCGACCUCGCCCUCUUCCACCUCAACUCCAACCGCUUCUGCGGCACUGUGCCCCCCACCUUCCGCCGCCUCCGCCUGCUCUACGAGUUGGACCUCAGCAACAACCGCUUCGUCGGCAAGUUCCCGGAGGUGGUGCUCCACCUGCCGGCCCUCCGCUACCUCGACCUCCGCUUCAACGACUUCGAGGGGCCCAUCCCGCCGGCGCUCUUCGAGCGGCCCCUCGAUGCCAUCUUCCUCAACUCCAACCGCCUCCGCGCCGGCAUCCCCGCCACCCUCGGCCACUCUCCGGUGUCCGUCCUCGUGCUCGCCAACAACGACCUCGGCGGGUGCAUCCCCUCCUCCAUUGGUGGCAUGGCCAACACGCUCAACGAGAUCAUCCUCCUCAACGACAACCUCACCGGCUGCAUCCCGACCGAGGUCGGGCUGCUCCGCCGCGUCACCGUUUUCGACGUCAGCUUCAACCGCCUUCAGGGCCCGCUGCCGGAGUCCAUCGCCGGCAUGGUGAGCGUCGAGCAGCUCGACGUUGCGCACAACCGCCUUACGGGGCGCAUCCCCCCGGGCGUAUGCGACCUCCCCAGGCUCCAGAACUUCACCUACUCAUACAACUUCUUCACCGGCCAGCCGCCGUCCUGCGGCCGCGGCGGAAGGUCGGCGGUGUUCGACGGCAAGGCGAACUGUAUCCCCGGCCAGCCGGACCAGCGGUCCCCCAAGCAGUGCUCCUCCGCGGUGGCCCAACCCUUCGAUUGCCGCAAGUCCAAGUGCUGGAGUGGCGGCGUGCCAUCCCCUUACCUCAAGCCACCGUCCCCGCGGCCGACUGCUCCUAGGAGAUGGCCUGUAUACAGUCCGCCGUCUCCGGUGGGGAACAAGCCCGGAAGGCACUACAAGCCAGCACCUCGUACGCCGCCGCCGCCGCCGCAGUACGAAUCAUCGCCUUCGACGAGAUCUCACCCACCGCCGCCGUCAUACUCGCCGAAGCAAUCGCCGCCGCCGUCCUCUUCGGGCUACCAUGCUUCCUCACCGCCACCUGCCCCUCCUGCGCACGACUAUGAACCAGCAAAACCUCCCCACAGCCCAUUGCCACCCACAUUGGUCUCACCUCCUCCAACGCAUCACUAUCAAACGCCUACUCCUCCUGCUCCUGUUCAGCCUCCGACAUAUACCAACCCUCCGUAUCAUACUUCACCACCAUCGCCGUUGUCACCUACAGAGUCGCCUCCGCCGCCGCCCCUCAAGUCACCAUCGCCACUGCCGACACCAGUGCCUGCCUCCCCGCCGCCGUCGCAAAAGCCAUGGCAAGCUCCACCACCACCGGUACACUCCUCACCGCAGCCAUCACCCAAGUAUGCUCCUCCCCCGUUCGAACAUUUGUCGUCACCACCACCUCCUCCGACCGUGAUGAAGCAAUCUCCUCCGCCGUUGCUUCCACCUCCGGCAGAGCUGCCGCCGCCACCAGCACCGCCCAAGUGCCACGGGAAGGAGCAUCCACCGCCGAUACUGCCGCC